RNAcentral lists this ribosomal RNA (347 nucleotides) under uncultured bacterium. RNAcentral's name for it is "bacterial SSU rRNA". It matches the Rfam family "Bacterial small subunit ribosomal RNA", at positions 556 to 901 of the family's 1533-position model. The record is from RNAcentral.
GGGUGUAAAGUGUGCGCAGGCGGUUUCGUAAGCUGGAGGUGAAAUCCCCGGGCUUAACCUGGGAAUGGCCUUCAGGACUGCGAGGCUAGAGUGCGGCAGAGGGAGGUGGAAUUCCACGUGUAGCAGUGAAAUGCGUAGAGAUGUGGAGGAACACCGAUGGCGAAGGCAGCCUCCUGGGCCAGCACUGACGCUCAUGCACGAAAGCGUGGGGAGCAAACAGGAUUAGAUACCCUGGUAGUCCACGCCCUAAACGAUGUCAACUAGGUGUUGGGGAAGGUGACUUCCUUAGUACCGCAGCUAACGCGUGAAGUUGACCGCCUGGGGAGUACGGCCGCAAGGUUAAAACU